Molecule: ribosomal RNA, 409 nt
Filed under: uncultured bacterium
Lineage: Bacteria
Description: partial 16S ribosomal RNA
Rfam family: Bacterial small subunit ribosomal RNA
Source: RNAcentral
AACNCGAAGAACCUUACCUGGCCUUGACAUGNUGAGAACUUUCCANAGAUGGAUUGGUGCCUUCGGGAACUCAGACACAGGUGCUGCAUGGCUGUNGUCAGCUCGUGUCGUGAGAUGUUGGGUUAAGUCCCGUAACGAGCGCAACCCUUGUCCUUAGUUACCAGCACNUUAUGGUGGGCACUCUAAGGAGACUGCCGGUGACAAACCGGAGGAAGGUGGGGAUGACGUCAAGUCAUCAUGGCCCUUACGGCCAGGGCUACACACGUGCUACAAUGGUCGGUACAAAGGGUUGCCAAGCCGCGAGGUGGAGCUAAUCCCAUAAAACCGAUCGUAGUCCGGAUCGCAGUCUGCAACUCGNCUGCGUGAAGUCGCAAUCNCUANUAAUCNUGNGGUUGUUCUCANGGCUNUA